RNAcentral lists this unclassified non-coding RNA (235 nucleotides) under Hevea brasiliensis (rubber tree). The record is from RNAcentral. Lineage: Eukaryota; Viridiplantae; Streptophyta; Magnoliopsida; Malpighiales; Euphorbiaceae.
GGAACAUGAUGAACAAGGUAUUUCCUACCAUAAAAUUAUAAUAAUUGCAUUUUGUAUCACAUUUCUUGUUUAUUGAAUUCAACAUUUCUCUUCUUUUGGCAUUAUAAUGUGGCAUUUGUCUAAUUUUGUUUCCAAUUUUUGUUCUCUUUCUUGAGAUUGUUUGUAGUAAAAGUUCCUCUUAAGAUGUCUUUUGGUCUUGUUGAGCAAACUAUAUUCAGUAAUGAAGUCCCUAAAA